AUUCCUACGGGAGGCAGCAGUGGGGAAUUUUCCGCAAUGGGCGAAAGCCUGACGGAGCAAUCUCGCGUGAGGGAUGACGGCCUAUGGGUUGUAAACCUCUUUUUUCAGGGAGGAAUAAAAUGACGUGUACCUGAAGAAUAAGCAUCGGCUAACUCCGUGCCAGCAGCCGCGGUAAGACGGAGGAUGCAAGUGUUAUCCGGAAUCACUGGGCGUAAAGCGUCUGUAGGUGGUUUAAUAAGUCAACUGUUAAAUCUUGAGGCUCAACCUCAAAAUCGCAGUCGAAACUAUUAGGCUAGAGUAUAGUAGGGGUAAAGGGAAUUUCCAGUGGAGCGGUGAAAUGCGUAGAGAUUGGAAAGAACACCGAUGGCGAAGGCACUUUACUGGGCUAUUACUAACACUCAGAGACGAAAGCUAGGGUAGCAAAUGGGAUUAGAUACCCCAGUAGUCCUAGCCGUAAACAAUGGAUACUAGAUGUUGAACAGAUCGACCUGUGCAGUAUUAAAGCUAACGCGUUAAGUAUCCCGCCUGGGAAGUAUGCUCGCAAGAGUGAAACUCAAAGGAAUUGACGGAAU
RNAcentral lists this ribosomal RNA (572 nucleotides) under uncultured bacterium. Its description in RNAcentral is "bacterial SSU rRNA". It matches the Rfam family "Bacterial small subunit ribosomal RNA", at positions 335 to 919 of the family's 1533-position model. The record is from RNAcentral.